GGAUUGUAGCUCAGUGGUAGAGUGCUUGUCUAGCAGGUGUGAGGCCCUUGGUUUGAUCCCCAGCACCA
Molecule: transfer RNA, 68 nt
Filed under: Marmota monax (woodchuck)
Lineage: Eukaryota; Metazoa; Chordata; Mammalia; Rodentia; Sciuridae
Description: tRNA.Ala
Source: RNAcentral